This 257-nucleotide ribosomal RNA is filed under the name uncultured bacterium. Its description in RNAcentral is "partial 16S ribosomal RNA". It matches the Rfam family "Bacterial small subunit ribosomal RNA", at positions 98 to 353 of the family's 1533-position model. The record is from RNAcentral.
GCGGACGGGUGAGUAACGCGUGGGUAACCUGCCUUGUACUGGGGGACAACAGUUGGAAACGACUGCUAAUACCGCAUAAGCGCACAGCUUCGCAUGAAGCAGUGUGAAAAACUCCGGUGGUACAAGAUGGACCCGCGUCUGAUUAGCUGGUUGGUGAGGUAACGGCCCACCAAGGCGACGAUCAGUAGCCGGCCUGAGAGGGUGAACGGCCACAUUGGGACUGAGACACGGCCCAAACUCCUACGGGAGGCAGCAUG